GCCGCUGCGGCCGCGGCGCAUCGGGCUGAACCGCGGCAGAGCCGCAGCAGCCACCGGAGCACAGGAGCCGACAGGGCCCAGCCGGGAUGGUGCAACGGCGGCUCCGCGGCGCAAACACGCACUGAGUGGGCCCAAGCUGGGCCCCGCGUCCCCCGCGCCCCCCGCCGCCCCGAUCUCGGCCGGCAUGAUGUGCCUGGAAUGCGCCUCGGCGGCGGCGGGCGGCGCGGAGGAGGAGGAGGCGGACGCGGAGCGGCGGCGGCGCCGGCACCGGGGGGCGCAGCGAGGGGCUGGCAGUGGCGGUUGCUGCGGGGCGCGGGGAGCGGGCGCCGCUGGAGUCUUGGCCGCAGACGAUGAGGUGCACACGUUGUCGGGCAGUGUGAGGAGGGCCCCGUCCGGACCCCCGAGCACCCCGAGCACCCCCAGCUGCGUAGCCGCUGCCAAGGGCCCCGGCGCUCAGCAACCCAAACCGGCCAGCUUGGGCUGCGGGCGGGGGGCAGCUGCUGCCAUCCUCAGCCUGGGCAACGUGCUCAACUACCUGGACAGGUACACCGUAGCAGGCGUCCUUCUGGACAUCCAGCAGCACUUUGGGGUCAAGGACCGAGGCGCCGGCUUGCUGCAGUCAGUGUUCAUCUGCAGCUUCAUGGUGGCUGCCCCCAUCUUUGGCUACCUGGGUGACCGCUUCAACAGGAAAGUGAUCCUCAGCUGCGGCAUCUUCUUCUGGUCGGCGGUCACGUUCUCCAGCUCCUUCAUCCCCCAGCAGCACUUCUGGCUACUGGUCCUGUCUCGGGGACUGGUGGGCAUCGGGGAGGCCAGCUACUCCACCAUUGCGCCCACCAUCAUAGGCGACCUCUUUACCAAGAACACGCGCACGCUCAUGCUGUCUGUCUUCUACUUUGCCAUCCCACUGGGCAGUGGCCUGGGGUACAUCACUGGCUCCAGCGUGAAGCAGGCAGCUGGAGACUGGCACUGGGCCUUGCGGGUGUCCCCCAUCAUGGGCAUUGUCACAGGAACGCUCAUCCUCUACCUGGUCCCUGUCACCAAGAGGGGCCCUGCCGACCAGCUUGGGGGGCAGUUCAAGGCACGGACCUCAUGGCUCCGAGACAUGAAGGCCCUGAUCCGCAACCGCAGCUAUGUCUUCUCCUCCCUGGCCACGUCGGCUGUGUCCUUCGCCACAGGGGCCCUGGGGAUGUGGAUCCCGCUCUACCUGUACCGCGCCCAAGUUGUGCAGAAGACAGCAGAGACGUGCAGCAGCCCACCCUGUGGGGCCAAGGACAGCCUCAUCUUUGGGGCCAUCACCUGCUUUACUGGCUUUCUGGGUGUAGUCACCGGGGCAGGAGCCACACGCUGGUGCCGCCUGCGGACGCAGCGGGCCGACCCGCUGGUGUGCGCCGUGGGCAUGCUGGGCUCUGCCAUCUUCAUCUGCCUCAUCUUUGUGGCCGCCAAGAGCAGCAUCGUGGGGGCCUAUAUCUGCAUCUUUGUUGGGGAGACGCUGCUCUUUUCUAACUGGGCCAUCACCGCGGAUAUCCUCAUGUACGUGGUCAUCCCCACGAGGCGGGCCACCGCUGUGGCCCUGCAGAGCUUCACCUCACACCUGCUGGGGGACGCCGGAAGCCCCUACCUCAUCGGCUUCAUCUCCGACUUGAUCCGCCAGAGCACCAAGGACUCCCCGCUCUGGGAGUUCCUGAGUCUGGGCUACGCCCUCAUGCUCUGCCCCUUCAUCGUGGUCCUGGGGGGCAUGUUCUUCCUCGCCACCGCUCUCUUCUUCCUCAGCGACCGCGCCAAGGCUGAGCAGCAGUCCCUGCCCAGCGCGUCCGGCCAGCCGGCCCCCGCGAUACGAUGUGCCAGAGCAGUGCCCGGGCCAGGCCCCCGCUGAUCCACCACCUUGACCCCUGCCCGUCUCUCCCCCAGGGUGAACCAGCUGGUCAUGCCGCCCGCAUCUGUGAAAAUCUGAGGCAGUGCCACUGGGACAGUGAAGAAUCCGCACUCUCACCCAGUUUGGGAGGUGUCCCACGGUAUCCUGGCCCUGCUGGGCUGGCCCGAAGCUUUCUGUGUGACCCACGGCUGGGCACACACUCUCUUUGGUCUGGGACUGAUGAGUGGCUGUGGCUGCAAGAAGAGGCUGUGUCCUCAACUAACUUACAAGGCUGUGUGUGCUGGAGCCACAGGGUUGGAUUGACUACCAGCCCUAGAUUUGGGCUGCAGGGCCCCUGGGCCUCAGGGAGAAGACAGCCCUCAGUGAGUGUGUGGGGAGAGCCUGGCCCGUCACCAGCUUGUGUGCUCCUGGGUAAGUCCCUGCCCUCCCCAGACCGUGGGGCCAGGGGGCUGGACUUUCCCACACAGCUUGCUGGGCAAGGCACUAUCCACAACUCUGGAGAUCCAACAAUUCCUGGACUGCACAGAAGGGAAGAGGUGGCCCAGGCCUCAGGGCGGCACUCCAGGCUCUGAGGCUCCCCGAAGGGCCUGGCGUGUGGGGACCACAGCCUUUCGGCUGGGCCUCCAACCUUGGGCAUGCUGAACUCAGUUUGGGAGAGCCAGGCACCCAGGUGGACGGUCACACUGGAGGACACUUCUGCUGCCUUGGGCUGGUCUCAGCCUGGAUGUUUCCUGUUCAGGGAUCAUCCUGAUAGGGAGCUGGCAUCACCAGGGGUGAAGGCCCUGGCGGCAGCCACACACUACCUAUGCCCACGGCUUGAGCAAUUUGGGGGUCACCCACCCCAAGAGGGCUCCUUGCAGCCCCUGGAGCACCUCCCUGUCCAGUCCAUCUCCUCAGACCCCCAGGAGCCAGGAACAUACUCCUGCCCCCAGGCCGGGCCAUUUCCAGGGGCAGGGCCCAAAGGACUAUUCCCAGAAUCCAUGGGGCAGUAGCCAGGGUUCUUGCUGCCAGAGGAAGCAGCCAUCCACUGACUUCCUGUCCCAGGGAAUAGCUGGUGGAGGUUGGGGCCCAUCGGGAGAGGCCAACACCAGAGCCACCUCUAGUCAAACAUCUGCUGCUACUGCUCUCAUGAACAUUUCCACACAGCCCAUUGCUUCCCUCAGCCUCUGACCACUUCCACACUCCCAUCUGCACACACCUUGCCAUCCUCAGAACCACACACUAGGGUGCAGCCAUUAACUCCACGCCAGUCCCCUGGCCCCUUGUGGGGCUUAUCACAGCUCCUCUGCCACCCACAUUCCCUCCCUGCACACUUGCUGUGAUCAAGGUGGUUCUGGCCCAGGGGCCCCUUGAGGUCAGGAGACCCGAGCCACCAGCUUAGACAUGCUCUUAUCCCUGUAGUUGCUGGUGUGGCUUCAGUGGUGUGUUAAGCUAGUGAAAUACCCACUCCCCACCAAGCUCUGGGGCUCCCUGGGGGGCCUAACAAGGGGGUGAGACCCCUCAAAGACCACCUGGUCUCCACUCCCACCUCAGCCUCAAUGGGGGCCCCAGCGAUGUUUUCUUGUUGUACAAGAACCAGGUCCAAGUGUUGCGUCCUCUUCCUUCCGGAAGCCAAACCGCUCCUUUAUUUUUUAGAGCUGCUGAUUGUGAAUCUCAUUGUCUUAAGACAAAAACCAAAUAUAUUCCUCUUGUAAAUGAAGAAAUAAACCUAUUUAAAUGAU
This is an RNA transcript of Manis pentadactyla (Chinese pangolin), 3594 nucleotides long. It is a transcript of the gene named SPNS lysolipid transporter 2, sphingosine-1-phosphate, with no coding region annotated. NCBI's taxonomy places the organism in Eukaryota, Metazoa, Chordata, Mammalia, Pholidota, Manidae. The transcript is spliced from 13 exons. The record is from RefSeq and is a predicted model, not a curated record.